GAUGAACGCUGGCGGCGUGCCUAAUACAUGCAAGUCGAGCGAACAGACGAGGAGCUUGCUCCUCUGACGUUAGCGGCGGACGGGUGAGUAACACGUGGAUAACCUACCUAUAAGACUGGGAUAACUUCGGGAAACCGGAGCUAAUACCGGAUAAUAUAUUGAACCGCAUGGUUCAAUAGUGAAAUACGGUUUUGCUGUCACUUAUAGAUGGAUCCGCGCCGCAUUAGCUAGUUGGUAAGGUAACGGCUUACCAAGGCAACGAUGCGUAGCCGACCUGAGAGGGUGAUCGGCCACCCUGGAACUGAGACACGGUCCAGACUCCUACGGGAGGCAGCAGUAGGGAAUCUUCCGCAAUGGGCGAAAGCUUGACGGAGCAACGCCGAGUGAGUGAUGAAGGUCUUCGGAUCGUAAAAAUCUGUUAUUAGGGAAGAACAAAUGUGUAAGUAACUAUGCACGUCUUGACGGUACCUAAUCAGAAAGCCACGGCUAACUACGUG
Molecule: ribosomal RNA, 497 nt
Filed under: uncultured bacterium
Lineage: Bacteria
Description: partial 16S ribosomal RNA
Rfam family: Bacterial small subunit ribosomal RNA
Source: RNAcentral